AGCUCUCUCUCUCGAGCUCCGAUUGCUGGCGCGAUGGUCGUCGCGGCUACGGGUGCUGCAGCGGCAUCACGGCUUCGAGCUGCUGGUGGUCACUGCGGCGUCAGCGAUGGAGCCGGUUGCAGCAGGUUGCUGCGGCGGCGUUGGAUUGUAGGUGGAGGCGGGCGAGCGACGGCACGGGCUGUAGCGAGGUGGCUCGGGGCGCGG
Molecule: long non-coding RNA, 204 nt
Filed under: Eucalyptus grandis
Lineage: Eukaryota; Viridiplantae; Streptophyta; Magnoliopsida; Myrtales; Myrtaceae
Description: long non-coding RNA (EGRA_LNC007593)
Source: RNAcentral